AAGCAAUUUCCAGCUUAAAGAAACCCUAAAAACUCUCUCUUCUUCUCAGGCGCCGCUUAAAAAAAAAUUCUGAUAUAGGGCUGGAGAUUGGUUGCGAUCUUAGCACCACCUAUGGCCACUUCCAUAUUUGCUUUAGUUUUCAUUUCUUGUAUUCCUUUUCUUUUAUCGCGGCAGUUCCUAACUCUUUCUAAGUUUGGCUAGUGUGGACUAACGUUUCAUGUCCGGCGUGUUUUGAAGAUUCGUGACAAUGCGUGGAGAGCAGAUCUACCUCUGACGGCUCUGAAUUUGAUAGAUCUGGUUGUUGUGUGGUCUAAAUUACGGUUCAACCGGCUUCACUCGUUAAAGGAUUUAGGUUAUCUCUCAAUUCCACUUUUUACCUCUCCUACAAGUCUCGUCUCUCGCCGUCGGAAGCUUCCUCUUGGGUUUUUUCUGAAGGUUGUAGCAGCUGGUUUCGUUACAUGGUUCUGUCAUUCUCCGGUUGGGUUUCAUUCUGUGGGUUCUUCAUUCGGAUGGUAACCUCCUAUAAUCGCAUCUACUAGCUCCUCCUUGGGAUCUUUCUUGGUUUCAGGGCAGUAAUCUAGACGUUGUGGCGGGUUCGAUCUCUUGUCCUUCUCUUUGCGUAGCGUAACCAGUCCUUAGUCUGUAGAUGGCUUUGGCUGGGUCUACGAAGGUCCGUGUGUAACGAUAGGUGGUCCUCUUUGGCGUUUCCCCUCCCGUUUCUCAAGGCUUCUCCUUGAUCCUCCGCCAAUUCGUUUCCAUUGUUACUAGAUUGGUCAGGAUGGUUAGGUUCCGUGUUCUGUUCUACUUGUUGUGCCGUCUUCGUUUCUAGUGUGGAGGUGGGUGUGUGAGCUCGUUUUAGUUCUCUCUUCGGGCUAUAAGUAUGUCUGAUGACAUAUGAUCUUUGGGUUCUUUCGAGGCUACAUAGCGACUGUAUUGCGACCAAAUAAUUUAGCGAUACAUGGUUUGGAGACUACAUUAUUCAGUCGCUAAACAGUCGUUUUAAGGUACUUAACGACGGAAUAGUGACUGUUUUUGCAGUCGUUAAUCACAUGUUUUCUUGUAGUAGCCUGCAGCAACAGCUUGAGGAAGCUACUCGGAAGAUAGAGGAACAAGUAGCUAUUCAAGCAGAGCGUGAAGCAGAGGCUUCACGGGUUGCAGUAGAGGCUUCACAGGUUGUAGCUGAGAUCAAGCACUUGAAGCUAGUCAAGAAGUACUUGAGCGAAACUGACCCCAAUUUCAUUGCUUUCCUCAACUCUAAGUCCAAUGAUGCCUCUGCAAAUGAAUAGGCUCUCUUACUUUCCCUCCUACUAGAACUUGAAAGAACGUGAAAACAUGUGUAGGUUGUAUUGUAUUUGAACUUGGUUGUAUUAUGUUUGAACUUGGUUGUGUAUUUUGUUGAACAUGAAAACAUGUUUUGUUUUUGUGUUGAACAAAAAUAUUAUAAAUAAACUUUUUUUGUGUUUUACAAACAA
Molecule: long non-coding RNA, 1472 nt
Organism: Capsella rubella
Lineage: Eukaryota; Viridiplantae; Streptophyta; Magnoliopsida; Brassicales; Brassicaceae
Exons: 2
Source: RefSeq, a predicted model, not a curated record